GGGCCCGCACAAGCGGUGGAGUAUGUGGUUUAAUUCGAUGCAACGCGAAGAACCUUACCAGGGUUUGACAUCCUGCGAAUCUCUUGGAAACGAGAGAGUGCCUUCGGGAACGCAGUGACAGGUGGUGCAUGGCUGUCGUCAGCUCGUGUCGUGAGAUGUUGGGUUAAGUCCCGCAACGAGCGCAACCCACGUCGUUAGUUGCCAGCAUUUAGUUGGGCACUCUAGCGAGACCGCCGGUGCAAACCGUGAGGAAGGUGGGGAUGACGUCAAAUCAUCACGGCCCUUACGUCCUGGGCUACACACGUGCUACAAUGGUAGGGACAGAGAGCAGCCACUACGCGAGUAGGAGCG
Molecule: ribosomal RNA, 351 nt
Filed under: uncultured bacterium
Lineage: Bacteria
Description: bacterial SSU rRNA
Rfam family: Bacterial small subunit ribosomal RNA
Source: RNAcentral